Arachis ipaensis is the source of this 769-nucleotide non-coding RNA. The record is from RefSeq and is a predicted model, not a curated record. NCBI's taxonomy places the organism in Eukaryota, Viridiplantae, Streptophyta, Magnoliopsida, Fabales, Fabaceae.
UAGAUUUCAAAUAUGUGGGUUACCUAGAUAAAUAAAAAAAACUUUGUAAAUUAUUUUCAAAAGUUUUAUAACUUCAAUAAAUAAAUGAUCAGCUGAAAGUUUGAGAAUCACUUUGCCGUGGUGCCACUAAAAUUGCUCCCCACCAGCCACCGCAAGGAGGAUGGAGCAUGAUGUGUUUGUAGGGAAGGUGUUUGGAACUGAUGAGUUUAAUGUGCUUUUGAAAGCGUUUUGCACUCAGAGGCAAAUGACGGAGGCUAGAUCUGUGUUUGUGAAGAUGGUGCCAAGGUUUUCUUGAUGGAUGAGAUGGUUGAGAAACACAUUGAGUUUGAUGGGUUAACUUACGACACAUUGUUCUUUGGGUUGAAGAAGACAAAGGGGAUUGAAGGUGUGAGUGAACUUUACCAGACAAUGACUAAAAGGAAUUUUGUUUUGAAAAUAAGAAUAGUUGUGACACUAAUGAAAUAUUUCUGCCAAAAUUCUCGUGUUAAUUUGGAUUUGAGUUUAUGAAAAUACAUGGUUGAGAGAGGGUAUUGUCCUCAUUCUCAUGCUUUGGAUCUUCUAGUCACUGGAUUAUGCUCCUGGGGUUUGGUGCAAGAAGCUUUUGAGUGCUCCAAACAAUUGUUAGAAAGAGGAAGACAUAUGAGCACUGCUUCAUUUUCAAUGAUGGAAAAUUUUUUACUGAAGGCUAGUCAGAAAGAAAAGUUGAAGGAUCUAGAUCAAAUGAUUAAAAAAUUGCAAAGUAUCUUACCACCAUCAAGAGGACAUGCCA